CAAGUUCCUCUGGAAAUUAGUUGGCAACACUGAGCGGAAUGCGGCGAAAGCAACUACGGGGUGCCGAUGACUCGAUUGUGCUGCUCAGAAAUGCAGGACAGUCCAGAAGAAUGACACGUCUGCAUUACUUGUGACAUGACUUCCUGACUUCAAGGCAUCUGAUCAGAAUCUCCACUUGGAGUUCCAUUCUGGAAUAGGAAUGUGUGCCGAAUACCUGAUUCCAGACCACGAGACUGAUGCGCUUUGUGAAAAUCCAGACGUGGGGAUGCCGUUUCCUGAAGGGAUCACGACCUUCUGGGUUUAAGUGGUGUGGUCAGUGGACUUGCAGCGUGGACUCCCAACAUACUGGUUCAUCUGUAUGUGGCUGAACAGGGAGCUGUGAUGCCAACUAGACUGGUCCUGAUGGUGGUACCAGACUGGUCACUACAAGAUGCCUGUUACUGAACUACCUCAAGUUGAUGUCCUUGUGGGUCUGCAGUCUUCAGGAAGGUCCUAAAUGUUCCAGCCUGGCCACUGGAGGAAUGUUACUGAACUACCUCAAGGUUUAUGCCCCUCUGGUUGAGGUCUGCAGGGUUUGGAAAGGUGUGUGUGACUUUUGACGGAAUCGUGAGACUCCUUCCACAUGAAGCAUUCUGGAAUUUUAUAAAUGAUGAUUUCCUUUGUCCCAGUCUGUUGGCAGUCCUGUGUUCUGGGGCUGGAUUAAGGUCUGGCCUCCCAUCGGUCCUCCUGUGGGUUGGGCAGACACUGACAAGCCUGCUCUUGUAGAGGGGGCAGGGGUAAGGUGGGCUGCCUGCCUGGAGGGAGGGUGUCUGGGUGGGGGCUUGACCCCAGACCCUGGACCGCUGGCUGGCUACAAUGACUGAACUACACACCUGAUCUGGUUUCAGAAUGUUCUGGAUGUCGUCUCGUAAUCUAAGAUGGGGAUUGUUUGGUUUUAAAACUGUUCUGUUUGUUUAGAUCUGGUUGGCUGCUGAAGUGUUGCUGUGCUGUUGGAGUGGGAAGCUCUCCUGUUUUACACCUGCAAGCCAAGCCCUCUUGCACUCCUGAUUGGUCAGCAAAGAAGUGGGACGUCUCGUUGGAACUGAGGGGAAACCAGGCCAAGUCAAUUCAACCCCACGACUGUUUUGAUGUAUGAAUAAAUCUACAAAUGUUUAUGCUUGUCUUGUUUGUUUCUUGGAGGUAGUAAUUCAGACUUGUUGAAUUUGGCCAUUUUUAAUGAACCAUGUGGUUUUCUGAUUUCAAUACUGAACAGUGAUAUUUCCUGUCAUCUCAUUAUGUAGUUAUUCUAGGUUUGACUGAUUUCUCACUGGCUAUAGAAAGUUGACUAAUUUUAAGCCAAAUUGUUAUUUGAAUUGAUGUGAGCAGCAUGUUUAGUCAUGUAGAAGGCUUUGACACAAUGGGGUAGAUAAUAUAUGGAAUAAAUUCAGUUUUACGCUGCUACCAGUUCCUAGGCCGUUAUUGAAAAUAAGAGUUUGUUAACGGGCUUGCCUUGUAAAAUAGAGUAACAGUAGCAUGCAAAACAUAAAUCAGAGGGAUUACAUGGAUUACACAAAGAAAUGAGAAGAGAACUGAUCCGCAUUCUUUCAAAUAGACAUUUAGUUUUGUAUACAUUGCCAAGACGAAAUAGUUUUCCAAAUUAGAUUUUUUUUAAAUUAAGUAAUGGGACUUUUUAUUCAAAUGUUGAUUUGUGUAUGAAAUGUUUUCCUAAUAAAGAGAUGACAUGCGUUAAA
Oncorhynchus masou masou (cherry salmon) is the source of this 1730-nucleotide long non-coding RNA. RefSeq lists it as uncharacterized. The transcript is spliced from 13 exons. NCBI's taxonomy places the organism in Eukaryota, Metazoa, Chordata, Actinopteri, Salmoniformes, Salmonidae. The record is from RefSeq and is a predicted model, not a curated record.